GUGUAAGGAAACAACAGUAAUUCAAUGGCCAUUUCAAGAUUUCUCAAGCUUAAGCUACGAUGAAAGCAUGGAAGCCACGUUUGUUAAUGGUCAAAAUCUGCAUACACUAAGAUGGUUUUCGCUUUUAAAUCUACAAGAAGAAUAUCUAAUCAGUUGCAAAGCAGGAUACAAUUUACGCACCGUCUUCGGUGGCAGCUGCUAAAGGUUGAAGAGCUUUGAGAGGAU
This 225-nucleotide unclassified non-coding RNA is filed under the name Hevea brasiliensis (rubber tree). Lineage: Eukaryota; Viridiplantae; Streptophyta; Magnoliopsida; Malpighiales; Euphorbiaceae. The record is from RNAcentral.